UACGUAGGGUGCAAGCGUUGUCCGGAAUUAUUGGGCGUAAAGAGCUCGUAGGCGGUCUGUCGCGUCUGCUGUGAAAACUCAGGGCUUAACCCUGAGCUUGCAGUGGGUACGGGCAGACUAGAGUGCGGUAGGGGAGACUGGAAUUCCUGGUGUAGCGGUGAAAUGCGCAGAUAUCAGGAAGAACACCCGUGGCGAAGGCGGGUCUCUGGGCCGUAACUGACGCUGAGGAGCGAAAGCGUGGGGAGCGAACAGG
RNAcentral lists this ribosomal RNA (253 nucleotides) under uncultured bacterium. RNAcentral describes it as "partial 16S ribosomal RNA". It matches the Rfam family "Bacterial small subunit ribosomal RNA", at positions 524 to 776 of the family's 1533-position model. The record is from RNAcentral.